UUAACUCAAAUUUGUAUGAAGUUGGAACGUUUGACUACGUUUGCCGCUAGGGGCACUAUUCCAUCCAGCUUCAUACAAAUUUCAGGUA
RNAcentral lists this microRNA precursor (88 nucleotides) under Bombyx mori (domestic silkworm). RNAcentral's name for it is "mir-2807 microRNA precursor family". It matches the Rfam family "mir-2807 microRNA precursor family". The record is from Rfam by way of RNAcentral. Lineage: Eukaryota; Metazoa; Arthropoda; Insecta; Lepidoptera; Bombycidae.